CGCAUCUGUGCAUGCAGCAUAUCAAUAAGCGGAGGAAAAGAGGGCUAUUACCUACGCUUAGGAUGUUGACGCACGCGCGUGCUCGACUCUAUACAUGACUCUGUGCAUAUCAAUAAGCGGAGGAAAAGAAACUAACAAGGAUUCCCCUAGUAACGGCGAGUGAAGCGGGAAGAGCUCAAAUUUGAAAUCUUAAAGGGUUUCCCUUUACGAAUUGUAGUUUAAAGAAGUGUUUUCUGUUGAGGUUUUGGUAAAAGUUCUUUGGAAUAGGACAUCAUAGAGGGUGAGAAUCCCGUAUUUGACCUUUACUUUCAACUUUGUGAUACACUUUCAAAGAGUCGGAUUGUUUGGGAAUGCAGUCCAAAAUGGGUGGUAAAUUUCAUCUAAAGCUAAAUAUUGGCGAGAGACCGAUAGCGAACAAGUACCGUGAGGGAAAGAUGAAAAGAACUUUGAAAAGAGAGUUAAACAGUACGUGAAAUUGUCGAAAGGGAAGCGUUUGACACCAGUGUUGUUUUUCUGAAAAUCAAUUAAAGAACUGUUUAUGCUAAGUUGUUUAGACUUUAUCAGCUAACUGUUUAGUUUUGAGCUUUUCUUUAAUGCACUUUUCAGUUAACAAGUCAACAUCAAUUUCUUUUGCUGUAAAAAAGCUUGAGGAAGGUGGCUUGAGAUUCGUCUUAAGUGUUUAUAGCCUCUUGCCUAUGCAGUCGGAGAGAUUGAGGUCUGCAGCGUAGAUCCUUCGGGGCUAAAUGCACUUGUGCUAAGUUAUAGCAUUUUAUAGACAACUUGUUGACUAUGAUUUGUCUUGUAGCUUACUCGCUUAUGUUAUUUUACCUACGCUUAGGAUGUUGACAGCAGUAUAGACUGU
Molecule: ribosomal RNA, 862 nt
Filed under: uncultured Neocallimastigales
Lineage: Eukaryota; Fungi; Neocallimastigomycota; Neocallimastigomycetes; Neocallimastigales
Description: partial large subunit ribosomal RNA
Rfam family: Eukaryotic large subunit ribosomal RNA
Source: RNAcentral